CCUACGGGAGGCAGCAGUGGGGAAUAUUGGGCAAUGGGCGCAACCCUGACCCAGCAAUGCCGCGUGAAGGAAGAAGGCCCUCGGAUUGUAAACUUCUUUUAUUCGGGACGAAACAAAUGACGGUACCGAAUGAAUAAGCCACGGCUAACUACGUGCCAGCAGCCGCGGUAAUACGUAGGUGGCAAGCGUUAUCCGGAUUUACUGGGUGUAAAGGGCGUGUAGGCGGGAGUGCAAGUCAGAUGUGAAAUUUCAGGGCUCAACCCAGGCACUGCGUUUGAAACUGUACUUCUUGAGUGAUGGAGAGGCAGGCGGAAUGCCGGGUGUAGCGGUGGAAUGCGUAGAGAUCGGGAGGAACACCAGUGGCGAAGGCGGCCUGCUGGACAUUAACUGACGCUGAGGCGCGAAAGCGUGGGGAGCAAACAGGAUUAGAUACCCGGGUAGUC
This 443-nucleotide ribosomal RNA is filed under the name uncultured bacterium. RNAcentral describes it as "partial 16S ribosomal RNA". It matches the Rfam family "Bacterial small subunit ribosomal RNA", at positions 338 to 795 of the family's 1533-position model. The record is from RNAcentral.